This is a small nuclear RNA of Pteronotus mesoamericanus, 106 nucleotides long. NCBI's taxonomy places the organism in Eukaryota, Metazoa, Chordata, Mammalia, Chiroptera, Mormoopidae. The record is from RefSeq and is a predicted model, not a curated record.
GUGUUUGUUCUGGCAGUACAUAUAUGAAAAUUGGAACAAAACGGAGAAGAUUAAAUGGCCCCUGAGCAAGGAUGACAUGCAAAUUCAUGAAAUGUUUCAUAUUUUC